AUACGGAGGGUGCAAGCGUUACUCGGAAUCACUGGGCGUAAAGCGCGCGCAGGCGGGCUGAUAAGUUGGAUGUGAAAGCCUACGGCUCAACCGUAGAACUGCAUCCAAAACUGUCAGUCUAGAGUGUGGGAGAGGAAGAUGGAAUUAGUUGUGUAGGGGUAAAAUCCGUAGAGAUAACUAGGAAUACCAAAAGCGAAGGCAAUCUUCUGGAACACUACUGACGCUCAGGCGCGAAGGCGUGGGGAGCAAACAGGAUUAGAAACCCUAGUAGUCC
Molecule: ribosomal RNA, 274 nt
Filed under: uncultured bacterium
Lineage: Bacteria
Description: partial 16S ribosomal RNA
Rfam family: Bacterial small subunit ribosomal RNA
Source: RNAcentral